CAGUAGCCGCGGUAAUACGGAGGAUCCGAGCGUUAUCCGGAUUUAUUGGGUUUAAAGGGUGCGUAGGCGGCCUAUUAAGUCAGGGGUGAAAGACGGUAGCUUAACUAUCGCAGUGCCUUUGAUACUGAUGGGCUUGAAUGUACUUGAAGUGGGCGGAAUGUGACAAGUAGCGGUGAAAUGCAUAGAUAUGUCACAGAACACCGAUUGCGAAGGCAGCUCACUAAGGUAUGAUUGACGCUGAGGCACGAAAGCGUGGGGAUCAAACAGGAUUAGAUACCCCUGUAGUCCCUGUCUCUUAUAU
This 301-nucleotide ribosomal RNA is filed under the name uncultured bacterium. RNAcentral describes it as "partial 16S ribosomal RNA". It matches the Rfam family "Bacterial small subunit ribosomal RNA", at positions 509 to 809 of the family's 1533-position model. The record is from RNAcentral.